GGAGUGCUCGAAAGAGAGCCGUAACACAGGUGCUGCAUGGCUGUCGUCAGCUCGUGUCGUGAGAUGUUGGGUUAAGUCCCGCAACGAGCGCAACCCUUGCCAUUAGUUGCUACGAAAGGGCACUCUAAUGGGACUGCCGGUGACAAACCGGAGGAAGGUGGGGAUGACGUCAAGUCCUCAUGGCCCUUAUAGGUGGGGCUACACACGUCAUACAAUGGCUGGUACAGAGGGUUGCCAACCCGCGAGGGGGAGCUAAUCCCAUAAAGCCAGUCGUAGUCCGGAUCGCAGUCUGCAACUCGACUGCGUGAAGUCGGAAUCGCUAGUAAUCGCGGAUCAGAAUGUCGCGGUGAAUACGUUCCCGGGUCUUGUACACACCGCCCGUCACACCAUGGGAGCGGGUUCUGCCAGAAGUAGGUAGCCUAACCGUAAGGAGGGCGCUUACCACGGCAGGGUUCGUGACUGGGGUGAAGUCGUAACAAGGUAGCCGUAUCGGAAGGUGCGGCUGGAUCACCUC
RNAcentral lists this ribosomal RNA (514 nucleotides) under uncultured bacterium. RNAcentral describes it as "bacterial SSU rRNA". It matches the Rfam family "Bacterial small subunit ribosomal RNA", at positions 1009 to 1529 of the family's 1533-position model. The record is from RNAcentral.